RNAcentral lists this ribosomal RNA (484 nucleotides) under uncultured bacterium. RNAcentral describes it as "partial 16S ribosomal RNA". It matches the Rfam family "Bacterial small subunit ribosomal RNA", at positions 30 to 507 of the family's 1533-position model. The record is from RNAcentral.
AUUGAACGCUGGCGGCAGGCCUAACACAUGCCAGUCGAGCGGAUGAAGGGAGCUUGCUCCUGGAUUCAGCGGCGGACGGGUGAGUAAUGCCUAGGAAUCUGCCUGGUAGUGGGGGAUAACGUCCGGAAACGGGCGCUAAUACCGCAUACGUCCUGAGUGAGAAAGUGGGGGAUCUUCGGACCUCACGCUAUCAGAUGAGCCUAGGUCGGAUUAGCUAGUUGGUGGGGUAAAGGCCUACCAAGGCGACGAUCCGUAACUGGUCUGAGAGGAUGAUCAGUCACACUGGAACUGAGACACGGUCCAGACUCCUACGGGAGGCAGCAGUGGGGAAUAUUGGACAAUGGGCGAAAGCCUGAUCCAGCCAUGCCGCGUGUGUGAAGAAGGUCUUCGGAUUGUAAAGCACUUUAAGUUGGGAGGAAGGGCAGUAAGUUAAUACCUUGCUGUUUUGACGUUACCAACAGAAUAAGCACCGGCUAACUUCGUG